This 304-nucleotide ribosomal RNA is filed under the name uncultured Gammaproteobacteria bacterium. RNAcentral describes it as "bacterial SSU rRNA". It matches the Rfam family "Bacterial small subunit ribosomal RNA", at positions 1046 to 1349 of the family's 1533-position model. The record is from RNAcentral. Lineage: Bacteria; Pseudomonadati; Pseudomonadota; Gammaproteobacteria.
UGGCUGUCGUCAGCUCGUGUUGUGAAAUGUUGGGUUAAGUCCCGCAACGAGCGCAACCCUUAUCCUUAUUUGCCAGNNCGUAAUGGCGGGAACUCUAAGGAGACUGCCGGUGAUAAACCGGAGGAAGGUGGGNNNGACGUCAAGUCAUCAUGGNCCUUACGGGAUGGGCUACACACGUGCUACAAUGGCAGGUACAGAGGGCAGCAAUACCGCGAGGUGGAGCGAAUCCCACAAAGCUUGUCGUAGUCCGGAUUGGAGUCUGCAACUCGACUCCAUGAAGUCGGAAUCGCUAGUAAUCGCUAGA